UUUGGCAAAGGUGAUGGGGUUCCACCUACUUAACCGCCAUGUGGCUGAUGACUCCUACAGAAAA
This 64-nucleotide non-coding RNA is filed under the name Photobacterium jeanii. Its description in RNAcentral is "Fluoride sequence". It matches the Rfam family "Fluoride riboswitch aptamer (crcB RNA motif)". Lineage: Bacteria; Pseudomonadati; Pseudomonadota; Gammaproteobacteria; Vibrionales; Vibrionaceae. The record is from Rfam by way of RNAcentral.